Long non-coding RNA from Lagopus muta (rock ptarmigan), 591 nucleotides. RefSeq lists it as uncharacterized. The record is from RefSeq and is a predicted model, not a curated record. The transcript is spliced from 3 exons. NCBI's taxonomy places the organism in Eukaryota, Metazoa, Chordata, Aves, Galliformes, Phasianidae.
CCUGGAUCCACCCCUCCUCUUCCCCAUCUAAGGGUUAGCAGCUGAGGGAGUCAUUUCUUUUUGGAUUGAGAUUGUAUUCCUCUUGGGCUGUUACCAAUCAUCAGAAGAGAUAUCUGCCAUCCUUCACUGAGAACUUCAGCAACCCUCAUCUCUACACCUGCAAGCCAGGUACCCAGCCUGGAUGAGAGCAUAAUACGAGUUAAUUAUUGCUUUAAUUUAAGUGAAGUCCUAUGCUGAGAGCUGUUGUCAGUGGGAUUCCCUGGAUUUGGUAAGGCACAUUUGGCUCCAUCACACUGGCAAAACUGAAAUAAUAUUUCCUGAGCACUGACCUCUUCGACACUUAUGUGGACUCAGCAUCUUAAUUGCUGUUAGUGUGAAUCACCAAAAGCUGGUGCAUAAUUUCUCAAGACAUUUAUUGGAGAUCUACAGUAGACAUUCACUCUCAAUAACAAAAAUAAAGAAAUCCAUAAAUCCCAUGAAACUUUCCCCUACUUCAUUUUAAGUUGUUUAUACAAGAAACUUCAUGUCGUAAUAACACUUUUUGGCCUUUGUUUGAUUGGAAAUUUCUAUUAAACUGUUAUGAGAAAAUAA